GUAGGUUACAGGCAUCUGGAUUUCCCUACUUUAAAACUUAGUGUUGUUGGUGGACGGCCAUUUUCUUGUGGUGGUGACCAGUUGUUCCGGAAAAGGCUUCUUUCUGAAGAUAUGGAGUCCAAGACAUGGAAGGAAGUGCCAUGAGAAUCUAUAAUACUGCUUCACGCACUCCAGAAAACCAUCUAGUUAUAUUUCUUGCACAUAAUGGGCCCACAGGNNNNNNNNUUCUAAUUUGAAUGACAUAUGUGGAAAGGAUUGGGUGUUUGGAGGUGGUGAUCAUGGUGAUCCUGAUCUAGCACAAGCAAUUGCCCACUUAAAAGAGACGACCAAACUGAAUAUUCCUCUGGUUGUGUUUGGUCACAUGCAUAAAGAGCUAGCUUAUGGAAAUGGUCUUCGAAAAAUGAUUGUGGUCAGCACUGACAAUACUAUAUACCUGAAUGGGGCAAUUGUUCCCAGAGUUAAAAGAAUCAAUGACGAUCAACGNUAGAAGCUUCAUGAAUAGCGAAACCUCACAGUUGACUCCAGAGUCCAAAGGUACGAGGCGCGCAUUUACUUUGGUUGAGAUUCUUGAAGGGAGAGUGG
RNAcentral lists this unclassified non-coding RNA (582 nucleotides) under Hevea brasiliensis (rubber tree). Lineage: Eukaryota; Viridiplantae; Streptophyta; Magnoliopsida; Malpighiales; Euphorbiaceae. The record is from RNAcentral.